GAGGGAAAGUUGAAAAGCACUUUGAAGAGAGAGUUAAAGAGGACGUGAAACCGGUAAGAAGGAAACGGAUAGAGCCAGCGUAUCUAGCCUGUAUUCAGCUGGUGUUUCCUGCCAGGCGUGUCGCUCCACACCUGUCUCGGGGUGGGCGGCGGGUCGUUUCGGUGGGUCUCACUAGUGCAUUUGCAGGUGGAGUGCACUGAGGCUUGUGGUGUCGGCAGUUGGAACCGCGAUUCGAGGCCAUCACUUCGGUGAGGAACCCAAACGUCGGGGAAGAUUGUCCGUGCUGCAUGUGUUAACGAGUGUGGUCGGGGUUGCUUCCCGCCGUGGUGUUGGCAAGUUGCGGUCGCAUGCGACACGUGCUCGUCCAUCGCUUCGGUUGGGGGUGGUUCUUCAUGCUCAUUCUCGGUGUAAAAGUUGGUCAUCUCUCCGACCCGUCUUGAAACACGGACCAAGGAGUUUAGCAAAUACGCGAGUCAUUGGGUGAGAAAACCCAUAGGCGCAAUGAAAGUGAAUGUGGCCGUUUACGCGGUUGUGAUAUGCGAUUGUGUGCAUCUCGGUGCGCACGGGCAGCAUAGCCCCGUCCCGAUCGCUUGCGAUGGGGCGGAGGUAGAGCGUGUUUGCUGAGACCCGAAAGAUGGUGAACUAUUCCUGAGCAGGACGAAGCCAGAGGAAACUCUGGUGGA
This 683-nucleotide ribosomal RNA is filed under the name Basiria khouzestanensis. RNAcentral's name for it is "partial large subunit ribosomal RNA". It matches the Rfam family "Eukaryotic large subunit ribosomal RNA", at positions 355 to 871 of the family's 3401-position model. Lineage: Eukaryota; Metazoa; Nematoda; Chromadorea; Rhabditida; Tylenchidae. The record is from RNAcentral.